This 2929-nucleotide ribosomal RNA is filed under the name Citrobacter freundii. Its description in RNAcentral is "bacterial LSU rRNA". It matches the Rfam family "Bacterial large subunit ribosomal RNA". Lineage: Bacteria; Pseudomonadati; Pseudomonadota; Gammaproteobacteria; Enterobacterales; Enterobacteriaceae. The record is from RNAcentral.
GGGUUGUGAGGUUAAGCGACUAAGCGUACACGGUGGAUGCCCUGGCAGUCAGAGGCGAUGAAGGACGUGCUAAUCUGCGAUAAGCGUCGGUAAGGUGAUAUGAACCGUUAUAACCGGCGAUUUCCGAAUGGGGAAACCCAGUGUGAUUCGUCACACUAUCAUUACGUGAAUACAUAGCGUAAUGAAGCGAACCGGGGGAACUGAAACAUCUAAGUACCCCGAGGAAAAGAAAUCAACCGAGAUUCCCCCAGUAGCGGCGAGCGAACGGGGAGCAGCCCAGAGUCUGAAUCAGCUUGUGUGUUAGUGGAACGGUCUGGAAAGUCCGACGGUACAGGGUGAUAGUCCCGUACACCAAAAUGCACAGGUUGUGAACUCGAAGAGUAGGGCGGGACACGUGGUAUCCUGUCUGAAUAUGGGGGGACCAUCCUCCAAGGCUAAAUACUCCUGACUGACCGAUAGUGAACCAGUACCGUGAGGGAAAGGCGAAAAGAACCCCGGCGAGGGGAGUGAAAAAGAACCUGAAACCGUGUACGUACAAGCAGUGGGAGCACCCUUUGGGGUGUGACUGCGUACCUUUUGUAUAAUGGGUCAGCGACUUAUAUUCUGUAGCAAGGUUAACCGUAUAGGGGAGCCGAAGGGAAACCGAGUCUUAACUGGGCGUUAAGUUGCAGGGUAUAGACCCGAAACCCGGUGAUCUAGCCAUGGGCAGGUUGAAGGUUGGGUAACACUAACUGGAGGACCGAACCGACUAAUGUUGAAAAAUUAGCGGAUGACUUGUGGCUGGGGGUGAAAGGCCAAUCAAACCGGGAGAUAGCUGGUUCUCCCCGAAAGCUAUUUAGGUAGCGCCUCGUGAACUCAUCUUCGGGGGUAGAGCACUGUUUCGGCUAGGGGGUCAUCCCGACUUACCAACCCGAUGCAAACUGCGAAUACCGAAGAAUGUUAUCACGGGAGACACACGGCGGGUGCUAACGUCCGUCGUGAAGAGGGAAACAACCCAGACCGCCAGCUAAGGUCCCAAAGUCAUGGUUAAGUGGGAAACGAUGUGGGAAGGCACAGACAGCCAGGAUGUUGGCUUAGAAGCAGCCAUCAUUUAAAGAAAGCGUAAUAGCUCACUGGUCGAGUCGGCCUGCGCGGAAGAUGUAACGGGGCUAAACCAUGCACCGAAGCUGCGGCAGCGACACUAUGUGUUGUUGGGUAGGGGAGCGUUCUGUAAGCCGUUGAAGGUGUACUGUGAGGUAUGCUGGAGGUAUCAGAAGUGCGAAUGCUGACAUAAGUAACGAUAAUGCGGGUGAAAAACCCGCACGCCGGAAGACCAAGGGUUCCUGUCCAACGUUAAUCGGGGCAGGGUGAGUCGACCCCUAAGGCGAGGCCGAAAGGCGUAGUCGAUGGGAAACAGGUUAAUAUUCCUGUACUUGGUGUUACUGCGAAGGGGGGACGGAGAAGGCUAUGUUAGCCGGGCGACGGUUGUCCCGGUUUAAGCAUGUAGGCGGAGGUUCCAGGUAAAUCCGGUACCUUUUUAACGCUGAGGUGUGAUGACGAGGCACUACGGUGCUGAAGUAACAAAUGCCCUGCUUCCAGGAAAAGCCUCUAAGCAUCAGGUAACACGAAAUCGUACCCCAAACCGACACAGGUGGUCAGGUAGAGAAUACCAAGGCGCUUGAGAGAACUCGGGUGAAGGAACUAGGCAAAAUGGUGCCGUAACUUCGGGAGAAGGCACGCUGAUAUGUAGGUGAAGCGGUUUACCCGUGGAGCUGAAAUCAGUCGAAGAUACCAGCUGGCUGCAACUGUUUAUUAAAAACACAGCACUGUGCAAACACGAAAGUGGACGUAUACGGUGUGACGCCUGCCCGGUGCCGGAAGGUUAAUUGAUGGGGUUAUCCGUAAGGAGAAGCUCUUGAUCGAAGCCCCGGUAAACGGCGGCCGUAACUAUAACGGUCCUAAGGUAGCGAAAUUCCUUGUCGGGUAAGUUCCGACCUGCACGAAUGGCGUAAUGAUGGCCAGGCUGUCUCCACCCGAGACUCAGUGAAAUUGAACUCGCUGUGAAGAUGCAGUGUACCCGCGGCAAGACGGAAAGACCCCGUGAACCUUUACUAUAGCUUGACACUGAACACUGGUCCUUGAUGUGUAGGAUAGGUGGGAGGCUUUGAAGUGUGGACGCCAGUCUGCAUGGAGCCAUCCUUGAAAUACCACCCUUUAAUGGCUGGUGUUCUAACGUGGACCCGUGAUCCGGGUUGCGGACAGUGUCUGGUGGGUAGUUUGACUGGGGCGGUCUCCUCCUAAAGAGUAACGGAGGAGCACGAAGGUUAGCUAAUCCUGGUCGGACAUCAGGAGGUUAGUGCAAAGGCAUAAGCUAGCUUGACUGCGAGAGUGACGGCUCGAGUAGGUGCGAAAGCAGGUCUUAGUGAUCCGGUGGUUCUGAAUGGAAGGGCCAUCGCUCAACGGAUAAAAGGUACUCCGGGGAUAACAGGCUGAUACCGCCCAAGAGUUCAUAUCGACGGCGGUGUUUGGCACCUCGAUGUCGGCUCAUCACAUCCUGGGGCUGAAGUAGGUCCCAAGGGUAUGGCUGUUCGCCAUUUAAAGUGGUACGCGAGCUGGGUUUAGAACGUCGUGAGACAGUUCGGUCCCUAUCUGCCGUGGGCGCUGGAGAAUUGAGGGGGGCUGCUCCUAGUACGAGAGGACCGGAGUGGACGCAUCACUGGUGUUCGGGUUGUCAUGCCAAUGGCAUUGCCCGGUAGCUAAAUGCGGAAGAGAUAAGUGCUGAAAGCAUCUAAGCACGAAACUUGCCCCGAGAUGAGUUCUCCCUGAGACUUUAAGUCUCCUGAAGGAACGUUGAAGACGACGACGUUGAUAGGUCGGGUGUGUAAGCGUAGCGAUACGUUGAGCUAACCGAUACUAAUGAACCGUGAGGCUUAACCUUACAACGCCGAAG